This is an RNA transcript of Trifolium pratense (red clover), 4166 nucleotides long. It is a transcript of the gene named pectin acetylesterase 8-like, with no coding region annotated. The record is from RefSeq and is a predicted model, not a curated record. Lineage: Eukaryota; Viridiplantae; Streptophyta; Magnoliopsida; Fabales; Fabaceae. The transcript is spliced from 16 exons.
AAUUCACUAUGGUUUGUUUCUGUGACUGUCGGUUCUUGGGUUCUCUGCACAACAAACUCUGUUCUCAUUCUCACCAUUCAUCAACCACAACACAAAUUCUUUAACUUUAAUAAUAAGAAUUUCAACAGCCACUUCUCAUUCCACUCACCUUCUUCACCAUUUGCGUCACAUAAAAGUGACUUAUACAUCAACAUUCUUUAUUUGUUAUUGUUAGUUACAUACAUUCUGUUUCUUAUUGUUUGUUUCUCCAUUUUACAAGCUAUAUCACAUUCACCUCAACAAACUUUGUUUUCGCUCCAUUCUUCAAUUCAGAAUGGAGAGGACAAGAUUAUGCCAAUGGUUAAACCUUCUGGUGUUUGUACUGGUAUGGCUCAAGACAGAAGCUGCUUAUGUACCAAUCACUUAUGUCCACAACGCCGUGUUAAAAGGAGCCGUUUGUCUGGAUGGUAGUCCACCAGCUUACCAUUUAGAUAAAGGAUAUGGAACAGGACUAAACAGUUGGUUAGUUCAAUUUGAGGGAGGAGGAUGGUGCAAUAAUGUCACUACUUGCCUUGGUCGCAAGACGAAUCGUUUAGGUUCAUCUAAGAAAAUGGCUAAUCAAAUUGCAUUUUCAGGAAUUUUAAAUGGCAGGAGACAAUUUAAUCCAGAUUUCUACAAUUGGAACAGAAUCAAGGUUCGAUAUUGUGAUGGUUCAUCUUUUACUGGCGACGUAGAAGCAGUCAAUCCAGUAACAAAAUUGCACUUCAGAGGAGCAAGAGUUUUCAAUGCUGUCAUGGAGGAGUUGUUAGCAAAAGGAAUGAAAAAUGCUCAAAAUGCUAUUAUCUCAGGAUGUUCAGCUGGUGGAUUGACUUCAAUACUUCAUUGUGAUCGCUUUCGAGCUCUUUUACCGAGCGGGGCUAGAGUGAAAUGUCUCUCAGAUGCUGGUUACUUUAUCAACGCAAGGGAUGUAUCUGGAACACAGCACAUCGAACAAUUCUUCAGUCAAGUUGUUACAACACAUGGCUCUGCAAAGAAUUUGCCUAAGUCAUGCACUUCAAGACUCAAUCCAAGGCUGUGUUUUUUUCCUCAAUAUGUUGUAUCACAAAUCACCACACCAAUCUUCUUUGUAAACGCGGCAUAUGACUCAUGGCAGAUUAAGAACAUUUUGGCGCCGGGUGCUGCUGAUCCUCAGGGACAUUGGCAUAGCUGCAAGCUAGAUAUAAACAACUGCUCUUCUAAUCAACUUGAUCUAAUGCAAGGCUUUAGAACGCAAUUUCUAAGGGCAUUAACUGUUAUAGGAAACUCUCCAUCUAAAGGAAUGUUCAUAGACUCUUGCUAUGCUCACUGCCAAACUGAAACGCAAGAAACAUGGUUUCUAAGUGACUCUCCAUUAUUGGCCAAGACAACCAUUGCACAAGCUGUAGCAGACUGGUUUUUUGAAAGAAGGCUUUUCCAUCAAAUAGAUUGUCCUUACCCUUGCAAUCCGAGCUGUCACAACCGCGUUUUUGAACCACAAGAAAACCCAGGAAAAAAUGACACCACCAAAGGAACUUCAUCAGAUGCAUCAGCUAUAAAGCCCAGUUUUUCGAAACUAUCAAACAAGGUGAGUUUAACUCCAGUAUUCUGCAUUACCAAUGUAGAAAUGUCACACAUCAAAUCAAUGCUUUUUGUCUCCGUGAGCUUAACUCAGUUGGUAGGGACAUCGCCUUAUAUAUGCAGGAGCCGGGGUUUGAACCUCGGACACUCCACUUAUUCAUCUUUAAAGUGAAAUUUCUGGCUACUAGGUUAUUUGACAAAAAUAAAAAUCAAUGUCUUUUAAUCUGAAGUGAAAUUUCAUGCUAAUUUUUGUGUUUGACAUUAGGGAACAAUAAUAGUAUAACAGAAACCAGAUUUCAAAUAUGGUCAACUAGCAUUGAAUGCAAUCCAAGUUCUUCACUGAAAUUUAUGAAGCAUAAAUGAAUGAGCAAAGAGGACUAGACAAGAGGGAAUAUGCAAAAUAAAUUACAAAGAGAUGAUGCUACAAUACUUUUAUGGGGUUCUUUAAACAAUAUUUUUAAGAAAUUGUUAACAUGACCGUUAAUUAACCCAAGUAGUGUAUGUGGCUUUUGUGGGGAGGAACUUACUCAUACAAAUCACGGACAUUUCUCGGAUUAGACGUGUCUCGGUGUCGGACAUACGUCGGUGUUCAAAAUUGACACUUUUGAUUAUAUUAAAUUACAUCAUUUUUUAAAAAUAUUAUCGGUGCCAGUGUUCGUGUAUGAUGUUUGUGGGAAGCUGAAAAAAUUCUCAAGUUGUGAGUAAACAUCCGAACAACUUAACUCAGUUGGACAUUACAUUAUAUAUGCAGAGGCCGAGAUUUGAACUUCAAUCAUCUGAGUUAAUAGAAUUUUCAGCCAAGAAAGAAUCUUAAUUAAUGUAGUUUCCUUUAAAAACAAUUAUCUUAUUGACUAAUUAAUACCAUUAUCGCAAAAUUAGGGUUUUAUUCAAAGUUCAAACGCUUGAGCGGUAAAAUAAUUCUUCUUCUUCUCUUGAACUCCUCCGAUAACCGUCGUUACUCGCCGUCGCUACUCGCCACCGCGGCCGUGGCAGUGAGUGCGAAACUCAGCUUCAUCGUAAAAAUUAGUUUUCAUUUUCCGUUGAUAACAUAUGUUGUCGUUUACCUCGUUCAGCAAACUCAGCUAUCGGCAGAAAUCCAGAUCAACAUGGCUGAGGGAAGGUACGUGCUUCCAUGGAAGCAUUAAUAGAAGUAGUAAAGAAAAUGAAAUGUUAUACCUAGAAAUGAACAGUAACAGAGUAGCAGGAAUAGAUGCAAUAUUUGAACACUUCAAAACCCAAUUUCAUGCUAAAAGAGGAAAUAGACCUGUACCUGAGCGCUUCAAUUUUAAACGAAUUGAAGCGGAGGUUAAUGCGGCGUUGAUAGACGUUUUCUCGGAAGAGGAGGUAAGAAAUGCGGUCUGGGAUUGUGAGAGUUUAGAGAAUCCGGGUCCAGAUGGAGUUAAUUUCGAGUUUGUGAAGGAGUUUUGGGAGGAUAUUAAGGUAGAUUUCUUGAGAGUAAUGACGGAGUUUCAUACUAAUGGACGACUGGUUAAAGGUGUGAAUUGUUCGUUUGUAGUGCUUGUUCCAAAGAAGUAUAAUCCGGUGGGAGUGUCGGAUUUUAGACGUGUUUCGUUAGUUGGAUGCAUAUAAGGUGAUAUCGAAAGUUUUGGCAAAUAGGUUGGAGCGUGUUAUUGGCUUGGUUAUAUCGAAACCUCAGUCUAUCUUUGUAGGUGGGAGAGAAAUCAUGGAUGGAGUUCGUAUUGCAAAUGAGGUAGUGGAUGAGGCGAAAAGGAAGAAAAAAGAGGUAAUUAUGUUUAAAUUGAAUUACGUAAAGGCUUACUAUUCAAUUGAUUGGAAGUAUCUAGAUUAUGUCAUGGAGAAAAUGGGAUUUGAUGUUAGAUGGAGGGAAUGGAUCUCAGAAUGUCUAAAGGCUGCCUCAAUCUCGGCCCUAGUGAAUGGUAGUCCCAUAGAAGAAUUUGAAAUGGGUUGUGGGCUAAGACAAGAGGAUCCAUUAUCACCAUUUCUUUUCCUCAUAGCAAUAGAAUCUUUUAAUUUGAUGAUGAGAAAGAUUGUGGAGUUGGGACAGUUCUCAGGUUUCAGAUUUGAAGGGAAUGAUGAGCAAAUUUCUCACUUACAAUACGCAGAUGACAUUUUGAUUAUUGGUGAUAAGAGUGAGUCGAAUAUUUUUGCCAUAAAAUCAAUCAUUUAUCUAUUCGAGUUGAUGGCAGGUGUGAGAUGCUAUUUAUACAAAAGUCCACUGGUUGGGAUAAAUAUAUCUCCUACCUGGCUUGAAGAGGCAGCUUCGAGGCUACAUUGCAAAAUAGGUAGUCUUCCUUUUACAUAUCUUGGAUUGCCAAUUGGGGAAAAUCCAAGAAAAAGUUCAAUGUGGCAAACCGUGUUAGAUGCCGUGAGAGAUAGGUUGUCAGGUUGGAAGAAUAAACACCUUUCCAUUGGAGGUCGUGCUGUAAUCAUCAAAUCACUCUUGUCGGGGCUGCUAGUCUACUUCCUCUCUUCAAGGCUCCGUCAGGCACAAUGGAUUGAGCUUUUGUGCAUCAGAACUGGUUGGCUUUUACAAACGUUGGUUAUUCUGAUCAUCCUGUAAAAGCUUAUAUUUGCUGAUUUUGACCCAACCGGACCAUUUCGCCUUACAA